This 467-nucleotide ribosomal RNA is filed under the name uncultured bacterium. RNAcentral describes it as "partial 16S ribosomal RNA". It matches the Rfam family "Bacterial small subunit ribosomal RNA", at positions 28 to 507 of the family's 1533-position model. The record is from RNAcentral.
GACGAACGCUGGCGGCGUGCUUAACACAUGCAAGUCGAACGGAAAGGCCCUGCUUUUGUGGGGUGCUCGAGUGGCGAACGGGUGAGUAACACGUGUGUAACCUGCCCUUGACUUUGGGGUAACUUCAGGGAACAGGGGCUAAUACCGGAUAGGAGCUCCUGCUGCAUGGUGGGGGUUGGAAAGUUUCGGCGGUUGGGGAUGGACUCGCGGCUUAUCAGCUUGUUGGUGGGGUAGUGUCUUACCAAGGCUUGGCCGGGUAGCCGGCCUGGGAGGGUGACAGGCCACAUUGGGACGGGGAUACGGCCCGUACGGCUACGGGAGGCAGGAGGGGGGGCUAUAGCACAAAGGGCGGGAGCAUGAUGCAGCAACGCCGGGUGCGGGAGGUCGGCCUUCGGGGUGUAAACCGCUUUCGCCUGUCACGAAGCGUGAGGGCCGGUACUGGGUAAAGAAGCACCGCCAACUUACUG